RNAcentral lists this ribosomal RNA (228 nucleotides) under Triticum aestivum (bread wheat). RNAcentral describes it as "partial small subunit ribosomal RNA". The record is from RNAcentral. Lineage: Eukaryota; Viridiplantae; Streptophyta; Magnoliopsida; Poales; Poaceae.
AUGAUUUGCUUAAACUGGAACUGCCGGGGGCUUGGGAACCCCGAGCCAGUUCGCGAGCUUCGCAAUGUGGUGAAGCAAGAAGGUCCCGCCCUUGUCUUUGUGAUGGAAACGAAGAUUAGGGCUGUCAAGGUUGAGAACCUGAAGUUUUCUUUGGGUUUCUCUGGUUGUUUUGCAGUGGACAGUGUCGGGCUGAGUGGAGGCCUUGGAUUAUUUUGGUCUAAGGACGUG